Molecule: ribosomal RNA, 468 nt
Filed under: uncultured bacterium
Lineage: Bacteria
Description: partial 16S ribosomal RNA
Rfam family: Bacterial small subunit ribosomal RNA
Source: RNAcentral
GACGAACGCUGGCGGCGUGCUUAACACAUGCAAGUCGAACGGAAAGGCCCUGCUUUUGUGGUGUGCUCGAGUGGCGAAAGGGUGAGUAACACGUGAGUCACCUGCCCUUUACUUUGGGAUAACUUCAGGAAACUGGGUCUAAUACCUGAUAGUAGCUCCUGCUGCAUGUUGGGUGUUGUAAAGUUUCGGCGGUUGGGGAUGGACUCGCGGAUUAUAAGCUUGUUGGUGGGGUAUUGGCUUACCAAGGCUUUUACGGGUAGCCGGCCUGAUAGGGUGAGCGGUAACAUUGGGACUGAGAUAAGGCCAAGACUCCUACGGGAGGCAGCAGUGGGGAAUAUUGCACAAUGGGCGGAAGCCUGAUGCAGUAACGCAGCGUGCGGGAGGACGGACUUAGGGUUGUAAACCGCUUUAGCCUGUGACGAAGCGUGAGUGACGGUAAUGGGUAAAGAAGCACAGGCUAAAUACGUG